CACGUAGGGGGCAAGCGUUGUCCGGAUUUAUUGGGCGUAAAGAGCUCGUAGGUGGCUCGGUAAGUCGGGUGUGAAAUUUCGAGGCUCAACCUCGAAACGCCACCUGAUACUGCUGUGGCUAGAGUCCGGUAGGGGAGCGUGGAAUUCCUGGUGUAGCGGUGAAAUGCGCAGAUAUCAGGAGGAACACCGGUGGCGAAGGCGGCAUCCUGGACCGGUAUUGACGCUGAGGCGCGAAAGCCAGGGGAGCAAACGGG
Molecule: ribosomal RNA, 254 nt
Filed under: uncultured bacterium
Lineage: Bacteria
Description: partial 16S ribosomal RNA
Rfam family: Bacterial small subunit ribosomal RNA
Source: RNAcentral